Lolium perenne is the source of this 1077-nucleotide non-coding RNA. NCBI's taxonomy places the organism in Eukaryota, Viridiplantae, Streptophyta, Magnoliopsida, Poales, Poaceae. The record is from RefSeq and is a predicted model, not a curated record.
AAACAAAUUCUCAACUAACUCCAUUCCCCUUUCUCUCACGACCAGAGCCCUCCCCCGCCGCUCGCCGGCCAAGCUCCGGCGCGGGCUUCUCGCUCGCUCCCCCCGCCAAUGCAGCCUUCCAGCGCGCCCAAUCGCGCCGCCGAGGAAACCCUAGCUGCUACUCUCCCGGCGGGGGCACGACCGCGGCCGGCGAAGGAAGACCGGGAGGCGCGGAGGACGGAUUUCUGGUCGCCUCCCGAGCUUAAGCCUGCUCCCUCCCCGCUCUGACCUGCUGCAAACCAUAGCAGCAUCGAGCAUGGCGGGGCCGGCCCCACUCGCCCCUCGCCGUCGAUUUCCCGGCCGUGGGAGCCGCUGCUCUUCCACGGUACAAGCGCGUCUCCAAGCGCGCCUCGCCGUCGAUCUCCGGCACCCCUGUCUCCUCAGCGUUUUCCCACACCAUGGGCGCGGCCGUGAGCGUCCACGACCUGUAGGACCUCGCCCCUCUGCAGCUCUUCCUCGAUGGACGGCAGCACCGCGUCGGAGCUCGGCGGCUCCUAGUUCUGCAGCUAUUUCCUCCCCGAGCUGCUGCCCGAGGUGGUGCUGCCGGCGUCUCCUCUGUGCUACUGUCGGCGAGCACGUCCACGAGCACCUGCUGUCGACCACCUCCACGACAAGCUGCUGCCGGUGAUCUUAAAGUCACUUGGUCUCCAUCAUACAAUAUUGGUUGCUUCUGGUUGGCUUGCACGCUGGAGCAGUAGUGCGUGCUCACUGACCGACUUAUGCCACGCUGGCUGACUGCAUCUUCAAGGAAGGUCAGUGGAGCAACUUGUGGCAGAUCUCGCUACUACCGCUGUCAGCAUGCUACUAUUAGGACCUCUACUGCGAGAAGCAAGUAGGGCUUUGACCUGUUGGUGUGUUCUUGUGUGGCGCCCUUGCUGCCCAUGUUCACCACCAACGAGUCUGAAACCGGAGAGGGUGCUGCUGUCCUGCUUCUUGGCCGUGGGCGACCUCGAGCAUGAGGUCUCCACGAUGGACACGCUCGCCGGCAUCACCGUCAAUUUCAGGGUCGAGCGGGAGGAGUGGAUAUGUUGGAUAGGA